This 3363-nucleotide long non-coding RNA is filed under the name Homo sapiens (human). Its description in RNAcentral is "HSALNT0381723". The record is from RNAcentral. Lineage: Eukaryota; Metazoa; Chordata; Mammalia; Primates; Hominidae.
UAUGCACUAUAUAGAGAGACACACUAUUUUGUGUGUGUCUCUGUGAGUGUGUGUGUGUGUGUGUGUUUAUUCCUUCUCUCCAGUUCAGCCUUAGGAAAAGGGAAAGCUUGUGAACGUGUCCUCGGGAACUUGGUUUGCUGAAUUAACAGGUGAAGGUAACAUCUCAAGAGCUCAGUAGACCCUUCUGCCCAAAUGCAGUUGGCAGUCCUUGGUCAGGCUUCACCUGAGUGGAGGCCAGGGAUUAGAGCUACCAAGCAGAUUGCAGGUGGGAGGUUGUGGUUGACUUUUUGGAAGUCAUUAGUACAAAUGCUUUUAGUGCCUUUAGCCCCUGGGGUUUUACAAGGUCACCGCGUGAUUGGGAUAAGCACGGUAAACUCUACGACCAGAAGGUGUUUCCAUGCCACGUGAUUGGGAUAAGCACGGUAAACUCUAAGACCAGAAGGUGUUUCCAUGCCACGUGAUUGGGAUAAGCACGGUAAACUCUACAACCAGAAGGUGUUUCCAUGCCACGUGAUUGGGAUAAGCACGGUAAACUCUAAGACCAGAAGGUGUUUCCAUGCCACGUGAUUGGGAUAAGCACGGUAAACUCUAAGACCAGAAGGUGUUUCCAUGCCACGUGAUUGGGAUAAGCACGGUAAACUCUAAGACCAGAAGGUGUUUCCAUGCCACGUGAUUGGGAUAAGCACGGUAAACUCUACAACCAGAAGGUGUUUCCAUGUCACUGGGGCUGUGGAGUGUGGCCCUAGCACUGUCACUAAAAAUCCGAGGGCUGUGGGAGCUCUGGGAGCUUGGCUUAGCCAGAGCCACCUCCUCUUUCCCACUUGGAGGCUAGGGGCAAUCCUGCGCCUGACCCUGGGUUGUGCAAUGGAGUGAAGGGGACUUAGGGCGGUCAAGAGCCAGAGGCAUUGCCGAAUUCCUGGGUGGCUUGCAGUCAUCAUGAUACGCUGACCUGGUUGCAAUCAUUUUUAUGGUGAAUUAUUCAAUACAGCAAAGUAAUCUGGCCCUUAUCUCUGCCCAGUCAUUCUAUAAUGAAGAGGCACGGGGUGGAGCCCGGGGACACCCUCGGUGGCAUUGUCGGGCCACAUACCUUUCCCCUCACAUCCUGCGACAGCUGAAUCCGAGCCCGAGGACCACGUGCGGGGCGGUCUCCAGUGUGGAUGGCAGCCCGGCUGGAACGCACUGGCAGGUGGUCCCUGUGCCCCAGAGGCCCCGUUUCCUUCCGGAAGCGAGGCUGCAACUGCUCCAGAUACCCAGCAGGAAGGCCACGUGACAACGGGAGGGGCACUCCUGUGUGUGUAGGGGCGAGGGGGUGGCGGUGCCAGGGUCCUGCAGUUCACCAGGUGCCCACGUGCCUGCCACCCGAGCGCCAUUCACUCCCGACCGCGGGGACCUGGGGCACAGCCGGGCCCACUGCGGCGAGGCGAGGAGAUGUGGGGAGAGGAAGAGCGGCGUCCACGAUGUGCUCAUUUAGGCUUGAUUUUCCUCCUGCCCUCCUGUCUCCCUCCCUGGCUUCACCCACAAGGCUUUCUUCUCGGGCUGAUUUCUGUGGGAGCUCUCUAGGCAGAACCCUCAGUCUCUGAAAGUCGGGUUCGUCGUCCGGGUCUGCGCAGGGCAUGGAUCUUGAGCGCUUGGAAUGUGACUUAACUGAGAAACGCUACUUUAUUUUAAUAAGUUUACAUCUAAAAGCCGAUCAUUGAUUCCAUUAUUUGGAAAACAACUUCUAAGUGUGUUUGGAGCAACUCGGAUAUUGGAAUCUUUUAAACUGUAAAUUUUAUGAAAUCUAAAUAACGACCAAAUAUCUACAAGGAAAAUCUAGCAUCUGAAUCGAGUGUGCUGUCAGUGUAAAACACACACCAGAUUUCAAAGAUUUACUGCAGAAAAAAACACAUGAAAAUACUGGUUACAUGUGGAAAUGAUAGUAUUUUAGAUCUGUUGGAUUAUCUAAAAUUAAAUUUAAAUUAAUGUCACUGGUUUUUUUUUUUUUACCUUUUUCUAGUGUGGCUACCGGAAAGUUUAAAUUUCAUACGUGUCUCAUGUUAUAUUUUAUUACAUUUCUCUCGGCCUGUGUGCUCUAGAUGGUUGAUUUGGCUGGAUUGAGAUGAGGUGAUGGCCAUCCUAAAGGAGGGCCUGAGUUCCCUCUGCCGACCUAUGGCUCUCACUGCUAUGCCUCCCUGAUCAUUCAGCCAGUGGAUGUGGAAUUCAGGGAGAUGAGAGAUGCUCAUUUCCUGCUCCAGGAGUGCUCUCCCCAGUGGGGUGGGAGCAAGUCCAAGGAGUGAGUGCUUCGUGGGAACUCUGGCUUCCCGGCUGUCUUCAUGCCUGUGCGUGGCCAUGACACCUGGCAGGAUGCCAGAGCAGGGAGAGCAGAAGCAUCCUGUGUUCUAGCAGAGUACAGACCAUCAGAAAUGUUUCAAUUCCAAAGCUGGGCCAGGUACUGUCACCCACUGGAGCCAAAGUACCCUUGAACAGUUCACCUCUCUCAGGCUUAGGGUGAUUAUAGUGAAAAUUGGAUGCUUUUCUAAAUAAGGCAAACAAUGAUGGUACCUAUUUUAUAACCUUUACUGGACUGCCUCUUUUUGCCCCAGUCAGAAUGUGAAGUCUGGAUUUAGACAAAAGAUUAUUUGGACGGGUGAUAGUAUGUUUUGCAAAAAGAAUUCAAAAUAAGGUAACAGGCAACCAAGAGGGGCUGCCCACCUACUAGGUUUAAUACUCUCAGGAGUAAAGAGACAUAGGACCUGUUCCCUGUAUCAUGUCCCCUUGGUUGGGAACACCUCCCUCUUUUCCAUCCAUCUGUUCAAAUCUGAGCUAUUUGUUCAAGGUGCAGCUCCGAUCCCACCUCCUCCAGGGUCUUUAUUUAAUUCCUCUAGGCUUCCCAGCACCAUUAAGCAGCUUCGCGACCUGCAGCCACACAUGCCAUAGGCCUCCAUCCUCAGGAAAGUGAUUGAGUCUAUCAGCUUAUUUUCCUUUGGAGCCAGGUUCUAAGAAGUGGAUGCGAGUGACAUUAUUAUUCUGAUUAGUUACCUAUCCCCAUAACAGGGAGCUACAGAGUGCUUUGCAAAUAGUAAUGCUUUAACCUCGCCUCCAAAAAAAAAAAAAGAACAGCCUGAUGUGAAAAACAUUUAUAAUUUCUUGUAGUUACAGUGUGUAUCUUCAUUAUAAUCAUUCUUACAAUAAAUACAGAAGUGCUAAACAGACCAUUAUCACAGUGGCCUGUGGGCUGAGGCACAGGAACUGAGGGGUGCUGCAGACACCAGUGCUUCUCCAGGGCUGGCCAGGACACCUUCAGAGAGGCUAGUGAAGAGGAGAGGAAUGUAGGGUGAAUUUGAAAUGUGAUUAAUAGAGUCAAUGCAGCACAUGCUAGAAACA